GAUGAAGAACGUAGUGAGAUGCGAUACUUGGUGUGAAUUGCAGAAUCCCGUGAACCAUCGAGUCUUUGAACGCAAGUUGCGCCCGAAGCCAUUAGGCCGAGGGCACGCCUGCCUGGGUGUCACACACCGUUACCCUCGCGCCAACGUCCAUCGUUGGCCGCGGCGCGGGGCGUGCGCUGACCUCCCGCGAGCGGGGUCUCGUGGUUGGUUGAAAAUCGAGUUCGCGGUCGAGGGUGCCGUGAUGAAAUGGUGGAUGGGCGACGCCCGAGGCCAAUCACGCGCGACUCUGUCCGGCUCGGACUCCUGGACCCCUUCGGCGUCUCCGGACGCUCUUUGGCGAGACCUCAGGUCAGGCGGGGCUACCCGCUGAGUUUAAGCAUAUCAAAAGCGAGGA
This 394-nucleotide unclassified non-coding RNA is filed under the name soil metagenome. Its description in RNAcentral is "partial contains 5.8S ribosomal RNA, internal transcribed spacer 2, and large subunit ribosomal RNA". The stretch from base 1 to 122 matches the Rfam family "5.8S ribosomal RNA", at positions 35 to 154 of the family's 154-position model. The record is from RNAcentral.